This 482-nucleotide ribosomal RNA is filed under the name Escherichia coli. Its description in RNAcentral is "bacterial SSU rRNA". It matches the Rfam family "Bacterial small subunit ribosomal RNA", at positions 129 to 606 of the family's 1533-position model. Lineage: Bacteria; Pseudomonadati; Pseudomonadota; Gammaproteobacteria; Enterobacterales; Enterobacteriaceae. The record is from RNAcentral.
CCUGAUGGAGGGGGAUAACUACUGGAAACGGUAGCUAAUACCGCAUAACGUCGCAAGACCAAAGAGGGGGACCUUCGGGCCUCUUGCCAUCGGAUGUGCCCAGAUGGGAUUAGCUUGUUGGUGGGGUAACGGCUCACCAAGGCGACGAUCCCUAGCUGGUCUGAGAGGAUGACCAGCCACACUGGAACUGAGACACGGUCCAGACUCCUACGGGAGGCAGCAGUGGGGAAUAUUGCACAAUGGGCGCAAGCCUGAUGCAGCCAUGCCGCGUGUAUGAAGAAGGCCUUCGGGUUGUAAAGUACUUUCAGCGGGGAGGAAGGGAGUAAAGUUAAUACCUUUGCUCAUUGACGUUACCCGCAGAAGAAGCACCGGCUAACUCCGUGCCAGCAGCCGCGGUAAUACGGAGGGUGCAAGCGUUAAUCGGAAUUACUGGGCGUAAAGCGCACGCAGGCGGUUUGUUAAGUCAGAUGUGAAAUCCCCCG